AUUCCAGGAUCGCGUUUUGCGUGAACUUUUUAGAUACCGAUCUACUUGAAAUAACACUUGUGAGAACAAGUCCACUUAAAUCAGAAUCCAAUGAAUAAUAUUUAUUUUAAUUUAUCUUGUUAUCAUCAUUUAGUACUACUCUGCAUAUGGUUCCAUAUAUUUUGGUCUCACGGACAUUAGCACAAGCACCUGAUGUUCUAGUACAAGAAAUGACCAAUUGAAAAUCAAUGAUUUUUUCUAGUAGAUAGCAACACUACAAAAGACCGUGGACGAAUGUUCAUUAGCAUCAAUUGUAAAAAUGGGAUGCCAAAAACACACACGGACGUUCGGUUGCACUAUCUGCAGCCGUCCAAGUACAGGCACAACGGCAGCUGUCAAGCAGACCAAGUGCAGUAGCAGCUCCCUUCCCAUAUCCAGUCGCCAGCUCCAUGCCUCCAUCUCAUCCGUCCCUCACAACACUGAUUGCAGCAGGGAGAGGAAACAACAAGUGCUGGUGUAGCUUGGCAGGAUAGAGAGAUGGCGACCCACACAGUGAGCACACAUAUCAAACUGAAAGAGGUCGCCUAGAACGUACUUCACAGUGAGCAUGCACACCCACACAUCCAUGUCCAGCUUGGCUUGGCCGGCAAGAGCGACAGAGGAGAGGAGCCGCUGUAGUGAGCCAAAUCAAGCCGCACCAAUUCUGGCCAUCUUGGAGAUAUCUGCAUUCUUGCUGACCCUGUCACCUUUCUCGCAGGAGCCCAGGUGACCUCGUCGACUCCCUUAGAAGCCGGAGACUCGCUGUAGUGGUGCUGUGACUUGUGCUCAUACGAAGUUUCCUUCCAGGCAUGUAUCGGUGGAACUGCUGCCAAUUUUUUCUGUUGAACUGAUACAGACAAAUUGCCUCAAAUAUUUAUGGAAAUAUACUGAAGAAUGCUGCAGUUUUUUCCUGCAAGAAGUGUCGUUGUCCUCACUCUGAUGGAGUAACUCACCACGGCAGCACCACUUCCUACGUGCUAGCAUCCGCUGGAUUUGUGGCCUAUGAAUGUCCUUUACACAGUAGGUAGCCGAGAGCGACC
RNAcentral lists this long non-coding RNA (1058 nucleotides) under Triticum aestivum (bread wheat). Its description in RNAcentral is "long non-coding RNA (TAES_LNC010394)". The record is from RNAcentral. Lineage: Eukaryota; Viridiplantae; Streptophyta; Magnoliopsida; Poales; Poaceae.